CAGUUGGCAGCACAGGCUGUUAUCCAAUCUAUUAUGGGUAAUUCUGAUUCAAGUGAAGUUACAGACUCAAACAAUGCCCACAAUGACUUUAUGCCUGCGGCUGUGAACCCAGGAGCUAGUUUAAGCCUUCCUCUCAGCAAGGGUAAGGAACUGGAAGGUACUGGGUGUACCAACAGCAUACCAAUCAUGUCUAUUCCGAAGACAUGCUCUGGCCAACUUAGAAAUGCUCCAGCAACAUUCCAAUUAUUCAAAAAAACCCAAAUUCGAACCAUCGUCUUGUAUUUGUACCUCCAUUCAACAGUCUCUUGGUGUUGGUUCAAGUUUUGCUAAUGAGAGAAAUCGUAAGAACAAGAAGGCCAAAGGGAACAACCCAGCUUGAUGCUGUGCUCUGUAAGUAACGUUUCAACCUGCUGUAACACUUUGAAUAAGCCCAUCCUUGCAUCCUCAUUCAAGCGUUCGAUGAGAAGUGCAAUUCCAUUUGUGUACCCUGCGCGGUGCUGUUCUGGCGUUCCUCUUCCUUGUUGGACCAUUGAUAUCUUUCCUGCACUGAAUAAGAUACAUUAGGACAAAUAAGUCAUUAUUAGUUAGUAUGUUUUGGUGGUUGUUAUCUGUUGCAGUACUAUGUGGAAUGGUUGAACCCCUUGCUUGUAUUCUGUGUUAGUCGCAUGUGGUUGCUGGGAUCCCUUCUAUGCAAAUUGGAGGGAAUAAAAUCUUCGUUUCGCUUACUCAAAUGUUUGCACUCUUGUAUCGGCAGCCAAUUGAAGUCUCACUUUUUAUGA
Rhododendron vialii is the source of this 779-nucleotide long non-coding RNA. RefSeq lists it as uncharacterized. Lineage: Eukaryota; Viridiplantae; Streptophyta; Magnoliopsida; Ericales; Ericaceae. The record is from RefSeq and is a predicted model, not a curated record. The transcript has 3 exons.